AGAGUUUGAUCCUGGCUCAGGACGAACGCUGGCGGCGUGCUUAACACAUGCAAGUCGAGCGGUAAGGCCCUUCGGGGUACACGAGCGGCGAACGGGUGAGUAACACGUGGGCAACCUGCCCUGCACUCUGGGAUAAGCCCGGGAAACUGGGUCUAAUACCGGAUAUGACUUCGGAUCGCAUGAUCUGGGGUGGAAAGUUCCGGCGGUGCAGGAUGGGCCCGCGGCCUAUCAGCUUGUUGGUGGGGUAGUGGCCUACCAAGGCGACGACGGGUAGCCGGCCUGAGAGGGCGACCGGCCACACUGGGACUGAGACACGGCCCAGACUCCUACGGGAGGCAGCAGUGGGGAAUAUUGCGCAAUGGGCGAAAGCCUGACGCAGCGACGCCGCGCGAGGGAUGACAGCCUUCGGGUUGUAAACCUCUUUCAGCAGGGACGAAGCGCAAGUGACGGUACCUGCAGAAGAAGCACCGGCUAACUACGUGCCAGCAGCCGCGGUA
RNAcentral lists this ribosomal RNA (497 nucleotides) under uncultured Actinomycetes bacterium. Its description in RNAcentral is "bacterial SSU rRNA". It matches the Rfam family "Bacterial small subunit ribosomal RNA", at positions 8 to 522 of the family's 1533-position model. The record is from RNAcentral. Lineage: Bacteria; Bacillati; Actinomycetota; Actinomycetes.